This is a small nucleolar RNA of Mastomys coucha (southern multimammate mouse), 147 nucleotides long. RefSeq annotates it as small nucleolar RNA SNORA48. NCBI's taxonomy places the organism in Eukaryota, Metazoa, Chordata, Mammalia, Rodentia, Muridae. The record is from RefSeq and is a predicted model, not a curated record. The transcript has a single exon.
AAUCUCUGGGAAUGGGCAAAGAGACACUUUGGUGGUGGUGGUGUUUUUUAUAUUAGUCAGGGGCAGAGAGCAGAUGGCAAUCCUUUCUUCAUCGUAGCUUGAUGCCUGGCUUGGUGGCCAAACCUGUUUUAUGUCUAGGACACAUCA